Non-coding RNA from Anaerobacillus alkalilacustris, 118 nucleotides. NCBI's taxonomy places the organism in Bacteria, Bacillati, Bacillota, Bacilli, Caryophanales, Bacillaceae. The record is from Rfam.
UAACCCUUUAAUUACAGUCCCGUGAGGCUGAGAAGGAACUUAGGAUACGUACAGAUAAUAAUCUGUUAAUUUACGUGUGCUUAAAAACCUCUCAUCUUCGGUGAGAGGUUUUUUUUGA